CUCACUACUGCACUUGACUAGUCUUA
Molecule: non-coding RNA, 26 nt
Filed under: Callithrix jacchus (white-tufted-ear marmoset)
Lineage: Eukaryota; Metazoa; Chordata; Mammalia; Primates; Cebidae
Also listed under: 2 other names
Source: RNAcentral